RNAcentral lists this ribosomal RNA (437 nucleotides) under uncultured bacterium. Its description in RNAcentral is "partial 16S ribosomal RNA". It matches the Rfam family "Bacterial small subunit ribosomal RNA", at positions 341 to 792 of the family's 1533-position model. The record is from RNAcentral.
ACGGAAGGCAGCAGUGGGGAAUAUUGGGCAAUGGGCGAAAGCCUGACCCAGCAACGCCGCGUGAGGGAAGAAGGUUUUCGGAUUGUAAACCUCUGUCCUUGGUGACGAAGGAAGUGACGGUAGCCAAGGAGGAAGCCCCGGCUAACUACGUGCCAGCAGCCGCGGUAAUACGUAGGGGGCGAGCGUUGUCCGGAAUGACUGGGCGUAAAGGGCGCGUAGGUGGCUUUUUAAGUUAGAAGUGAAAGUCCUGCUUUUAAGGUGGGAAUUGCUUUUAAUACUGGAGAGCUUGAGUGCAGAAGAGGUAAGCGGAAUUCCCAGUGUAGCGGUGAAAUGCGUAGAGAUUGGGAAGAACACCAGUGGCGAAGGCGGCUUACUGGGCUGUAACUGACACUGAGGCGCGAAAGCGUGGGGAGCAAACAGGAUUAGAUACCCUGGUA